Molecule: ribosomal RNA, 250 nt
Filed under: uncultured prokaryote
Description: partial 16S ribosomal RNA
Rfam family: Bacterial small subunit ribosomal RNA
Source: RNAcentral
UACGUAGGGGGCGAGCGUUGUCCGGAAUGACUGGGCGUAAAGGGCGUGUAGGCGGCCGACUAAGUCUGGAGUGAAAGCCCUGCAUUCAAUGUGGGAAUUGCUUUGGAGACUGGCUGGCUUGAGUGCGGAAGAGGUAAGUGGAACUCCCAGUGUAGCGGUGAAAUGCGUAGAGAUUGGGAGGAACACCAGUGGCGAAGGCGACUUACUGGGCCGUAACUGACGCUGAGGCGCGAAAGCGUGGGGAGCGAAC